Non-coding RNA from Arachis ipaensis, 474 nucleotides. NCBI's taxonomy places the organism in Eukaryota, Viridiplantae, Streptophyta, Magnoliopsida, Fabales, Fabaceae. The record is from RefSeq and is a predicted model, not a curated record.
UCAUUGAUAUAUAUUUAGCUAAUAUUUGAGCCUGAUUCGCAGCUGUCCCUGGUUUCUGAAGUGAAAAAACCUGCAAAACUGCCAUCUAAGGUGCAACCAAUUUCCUAGGUUCAGCUAUCUCAGCACUCAUAUAACAACUUAAGAUUCUUUUGAGUGGGUAGAGGCAUGGUGAUUCCUAUUGUUAUAUUGCAGGGCUUGAAGGAGCCUGGAUCCUUGCACCAAGAAUACGAGUACAAGAAACCGGCCAAAGAAGCAACGUGUGGAAAGCAGUAUCGAUGCGUCCUCAUAACGCAGCAGGCCUAUAUGGUGGAACUCGGACAUUAGAUGAAAAUGUGCUGUUGGUUCUCCUGAUUGAUGCUUAAAUUCUCUUGAAACAUUUGCUAACGUUACAAAAAUUUAUAUCCCCUCUAUGAUGGAAACUUCAAUUGUAAGUAAUAUUGGAAGAACAAUUCCAGUGGGGCCCUUAUUUGCUAU